RNAcentral lists this microRNA precursor (78 nucleotides) under Bovine alphaherpesvirus 5. RNAcentral's name for it is "microRNA bhv5-mir-B12 precursor". Its record names the gene bhv5-mir-B12. Lineage: Duplodnaviria; Heunggongvirae; Peploviricota; Herviviricetes; Herpesvirales; Orthoherpesviridae. The record is from miRBase by way of RNAcentral.
UGCCGGCGCCCAGGCCGGCGGGGCUCCCGUCGCCGGCGGCGGCACGCGCUCCGGGACGCCGCCGCGCCGCGCCUGCAC